This 426-nucleotide ribosomal RNA is filed under the name uncultured bacterium. RNAcentral's name for it is "bacterial SSU rRNA". It matches the Rfam family "Bacterial small subunit ribosomal RNA", at positions 354 to 796 of the family's 1533-position model. The record is from RNAcentral.
GUAGGGAAUAAUGUGCAAUGGGCGAAAGCCUGACACUGCAACGCCGCGUGUGCGAUGAAGGCCUUCGGGUCGUAAAGCACUUUUCUGGGAGAUGAGAAAGGACAGUAUCCCAGGAAUAAGCCUCGGCUAACUACGUGCCAGCAGCCGCGGUAACACGUAGGAGGCAAGCGUUAUUCGGAUUUACUGGGCGUAAAGCGCGUGCAGGCGGUUCGGUAAGUUGGAUGUGAAAGCUCCUGGCUUAACUGGGAGAGGUCGUCCAAUACUACCGGACUAGAGGACGGUAGAGGAAGGUGGAAUUCCGGGUGUAGUGGUGAAAUGCGUAGAUAUCCGGAGGAACACCAGUGGCGAAGGCGGCCUUCUGGGCCGUUCCUGACGCUCAGACGCGAAAGCUAGGGUAGCAAACGGGAUUAGAAACCCUAGUAGUCC